CGCGGCGUGCUGCCUCCACGAGCGCGAGUGUCCUGGUGGGUCGCCCCUGGCACUGCAUAGGAGCUCCGAUGGGGUCCUCGCUCCUUGUUUUCUCGCGGACGACCUCUACACCAGUACGUCACCAUGCCACCACGAGCCCCAUCGCUCCCUCCUCUCCAAGGAAUAGCUGCAUAUAUUGGGAUUGCCAAAUAGAAGAGGUCACCUGGGAGUGGCUUCAGGAGAUGAAAGAUUCCAUGAUGACUCUGUUGAGCAUACCAAUUGCAUGGACAAGUAUUGCAGCUGGUUAAUUUGUUGCUUGCCAAUUUUUAUUCCAUUAUCCAUGAAAGUGUUCUGACAUAUAAUAUAAUUAAGGUGUUCCAUCCAUGGACACUCAACAAGCAGUAAGAUUGGAUGAUACUUAGUUUAACCAAAGAUUUCCAAGUCCUAAGGUGCUGGUUCCAGUUGUUGAAAGAGCCCAGCAGCUUCGUGGCGGCAGUGCGUCUUCUGCUCUUUCCGUAUGAUAUAUAGCUCUCAUGUGGUUUUGUAUUUUGUGUUUCUUACCUUUGCAAUGGUUAUCUUUGGCAGAGACUGUAAAUUUCCUAAUGAUUUUCCUCUUAUUGUAGAUUUCCUCUAUAGUGUUCGUGUCUCAUGUUGUUUUCCUGAUGCUUGUAGGCCUUUGUCGAUAUGUAGAAUGAAGCAUACAUUAUUUUGCACUUCAUUUCUGAAGUUUAUA
Molecule: long non-coding RNA, 712 nt
Organism: Lolium rigidum
Lineage: Eukaryota; Viridiplantae; Streptophyta; Magnoliopsida; Poales; Poaceae
Exons: 2
Source: RefSeq, a predicted model, not a curated record